CAGGCUGGAUUAGGAGAGCCAACAUGGCCAGUUAGGUUGUCACCCUCAUCCAUGGCGCUUAUAACACAAGAAGUCUCAGUCAUUCCAUAUCCUUCAGUUACACGGCCACCAAAGCAGAUCUUCAAGAACUCCAUGACAUCAGGAGACAAGGGUGAAGCACCUGAUGCCAUGAAACGAACUCGACCACCUAGUCUUUCCCUUAUCUUAUUGAACACCAAUCUGUCCCACAUUGGAGAUGGA
RNAcentral lists this unclassified non-coding RNA (240 nucleotides) under Hevea brasiliensis (rubber tree). Lineage: Eukaryota; Viridiplantae; Streptophyta; Magnoliopsida; Malpighiales; Euphorbiaceae. The record is from RNAcentral.